UUCGGGUUGUAACCUCUUUUAGCAGGGAAGAAGCGAAAGUGACGGUACCUGCAGAAAAAGCACCGGCUAACUACGUGCCAGCAGCCGCGGUAAUACGUAGGGUGCAAGCGUUAUCCGGAAUUAUUGGGCGUAAAGAGCUCGUAGGCGGUUUGUCGCGUCUGCUGUGAAAUCUGGGGGCUCAACCCCCAGCCUGCAGUGGGUACGGGCAGACUAGAGUGCGGUAGGGGAGAUUGGAAUUCCUGGUGUAGCGGUGGAAUGCGCAGAUAUCAGGAGGAACACCGAUGGCGAAGGCAGAUCUCUGGGCCGUAACUGACGCUGAGGAGCGAAAGGGUGGGGAGCAAACAGGAUUAGAUACCCUGGUAGUCCAAGGGCGAAU
This 376-nucleotide ribosomal RNA is filed under the name uncultured bacterium. RNAcentral's name for it is "bacterial SSU rRNA". It matches the Rfam family "Bacterial small subunit ribosomal RNA", at positions 417 to 806 of the family's 1533-position model. The record is from RNAcentral.